Pavo cristatus (Indian peafowl) is the source of this 4600-nucleotide long non-coding RNA. Lineage: Eukaryota; Metazoa; Chordata; Aves; Galliformes; Phasianidae. The record is from Ensembl.
CGGCAGGAAAAGCAAAACGUGGGUGGAGUGCAGACAAACAGCAGAGGGGUCCGCACCCAUCCAACAGAAAGUCGGACCAAAUUCGUACAAACGGUCCAUUUCCAUAGAACCCAGCUGUCACGCAGCGCCUCAGGUAACGGCCCGUGGGAACAGAGCCCAGCCCUGCAGCCACGGCGCUGGGCCGUCACCAGGAGCACCCACCCACAGGUGCCCAGGCGCUGCAGGGGCAGGGACACGGCACGCCGCAACCGCUCCGGGCUCCAGGAGCGGGCUGGAACCAACGUUCCGGUAGCGCCCGGCACUCCCAAGGCGUGCUCGCGGCUCUCAGCGCAAGGUCCGCGCUCGGGUUUCGUGCUUGCGGCAGCGAAGCGCGGCUCCUGGCGGGGAGCGCCGGCCCAAGGCGUGACCGCAACCCAGCGCCCCCUCACCCCCGCGGGGCCGCGACUUGGCCCUGCCCGGGCGGCCGCCGCGGGGCCCCGCGCCGAGCCCCGCCCCGCCGCGAGGAGGAGCCGCCGCCAGCCGGGAGCGUGCGGCUUCGCUCGGCGCUGCGGGAGGAAACGGCGCUCCCGCCUCCUCCUCCUUCGCCGCCGCCACCCCGGCGGGGCUCCCGCCAGCGGCCGCCCCCGCCGCCCGAGGAGCCAUGGGCUCGGCGGCCGAGCUGCUGCCGCCGCCUGGGGACCGCGAGCGGGAGGCGGGGGCGGCGCCCGUCCGGCACCGGCGGAGCCCGGAGGAGCAGGUCCAGCAAGAACAAAGAAACCACGCCACAGAACCUAUAAUAGACGAUUAUAAAAAGAUGGGGACUCUCUUCGGCGGACUGAACAAAAGUCUUAUCAGAAUAGGCUUCACAAGGAUGUACUUUGGAGAACGGAUAGUAGAACCUGUAAUCAUUAUAUUCUUCUGGGUUAUGCUCUGGUUUGUCGGCUUACAAGCUCUUGGACUGGUUGCUAUUCUGUGCCUUGUCAUUAUUUAUGUACAACAGUAAGAUUUUAUAGAUGCCCAUUGUUGGAUUCUGUAUUUUAACACUGUCAGUCCACUGUCUCAGUGGAUAUGGAUGUUUAAGUAAAUGGGUGGCAUAUCAAAAGUUGCAAUGCUUCGAAUUGUUUUUUGCUGAACUUUCAAAAUUCGGUGUGAGAGGGACUAAAAUUAUGAAUUUUAAGCAAAGUCAGUAGUCCUACUAUGUCUUGACAGGGCACACACAUCAAAAGAAAAAAAGGAUACUCAUCACAUAACUGCGUCCAAAGUAAUGUACCCUUUUCUACACUCCUGGGGCCUCAGUCCCCCUAUUGGCUUUUUAUUUCUCCUACCCUCCCCCAUCCUGCAAUGUUCUUGUUUUGCAUAGUGAAAAUUUCUUGUCUGGUUUGAAAAGGACACUUGAUGUGAAUGUCCUGUUUCAUUGUUGGGGGACUGUGUGCUGUUUGUUCUCUGAAUCUGCAUAAUUUCCUAGUUUAUUGCCAAAAAGCUAGAUUUACACGAGGGAGGUUUGCUAGGAAAUCUUCAAUGAUAAAUGCUCUGAAGUGGAGACAGCUUUGUCACAUAAAGCAUCUUUGCCUAGUACCGUUUAUGGCAAGCUUUCCUCCAGGAAGUAAGGAAUCCAGAAAACUGCUUGUAUGCUAAUGCUGGUGACUUCACACAAGACUUCACCUGUUGUUUAGAGCUAGGGAGGAAUCACAAUCCCAAAUGGACUGAUGUAUCUCUGCCUUGGUUUUGGAAAUGUACUUAGCUCCUGUUGCUCUAUUUUUUUCCUUUCUCUUCCUCACAUCCCUUCUCCUCAAGAUAAAUAUUUGGCUAACUCGUGGACUUUGUAAGUAGUUACAACUGCAGUCUUGGGAAUUUGCCAUUCCAGACAGUGCUGCUAGAAUACUGUCUGCUUCUUCUGGGGUCUUGCAUGAAGCAUCUGGACGACCAGAUUGAUAAUAGACAGGAGCUGUUAACGCCUUCCUCAUCUGCUGCACUGCAGGCCAAACACAAACUAGGAACUUGCAUACAUAAGCAAAUCAGUCUUGUUUCCUCUUGCAAGACAAGAAUGUAGUGAAAUCAAAUGGUCAUUUUACUUAGUAGCUUUAAUUGACUUACUUCCAAAAUAGGCAGCAAAAUGCCUAUGUAUAAUUGGAUGUCAUGGGCAAUGCAAACUUGAGAACAGGAUUGAAGAAUAGGUGCAAGAUUCUCUCUAGCUCCCUAGGAGCCACACCAAGGGCGUACUGAAUAUUUCAGAGUUGGAUGUGCUCAUUUAAAGGAAAAUAGUAAAAUGAGAUGGAAUCUUUACUAAAUAGGCUACGAAUCUAUUUCUUGCUGUAUAUUACUUUUAGUAAUAAAUUUGACUACAAAUUUGACUUCGUCUCUGGCAGAAUGGAAUUCUACAUUUACUUACAGAUGUAAUAUAAAAUGUAAAAUUUACAAAAAAAAACUACUUAAGGUUUUGCAGUGAUUUUUUUUCUAAAUGCUUUUAUAUUAGCGGUGAUCAACAACAGGUCGCUUGUAGUUGAAAAUGCUGAGUCUUAUCCAAAGACCUUUGAAGUUAAGUGUAGUCCUUUUGUGGUUCCUGUGUCACAACUGGAUUUGCAGAGCAGAUUUUAUGCCAGCGCCAUGGAUCAUGUUGCUUGCUGGGCUAUUUCCACAGUCCUUGACCCCAGUCCUUACAGACUUUUCUAUUAGAAAACUGAUGGCUCUUUAGUGCAGUGAACACAAAGGCUUAGCUCAGGCACCUCUAACCUGUGGGCCACAUGCGUACUGUGGCCCACCCCCUGCCACUAUGCCAGAAAAGUCUCAACUUUUCUAAUGAGUAGUUCCACUGUGAGGAGCCCCUGUCCAAAUGUUCAGAUGACCUUGGCUGUGAGUGGAUCUGGGAGGCUCUGGCGAACCAGUAGGACGGCGUGGGUGUGGGACAGAGGCCCAGGGUGUGUUUGAAUGGCAACCUGUGUUGACUGGCAGGCAGCUGGUUAAAUAGUCACAUUGGUGGCAGGGAAGUGUUUGGCAACAGGAGGUGUUCCUACAUACAGGGCUUUGUUGCUCACAGCUGGAACUCCAAAAGCAAACAGCAAGCACAUGCUGGUGGCAGGAAGCUCUUUACUCAAGUGCCUACGGUAAACUUUGUCUUUUGUUUCGAUCCCUUGGAAAGCAGAACACCUGUUUAUACUGUUGCGUAUUUAUAUAGCUAUACUGGUAGGUUUGAGUGCAUUCUUUUCCUCUGUAAGGGCUGUAUUGACAAAAGCAUCUUGUCAUUUAAAAAAAAGAUCCUUCCUUUCUUCCCACAAUCAAGUUAUUCUUCAGAGAAACUCAUCCAGUUCCUUUUGUCUUGUGAGGGAAAGUGUCAGUGUGAUAUCCUCAUUGCAGUAGUACUUGUGUGAAGACUGUACUGUGACACAGCAUGUAGUGUUUUCUUGACAUGGUGAUUUUGGUCUAUGUGUGGGGAACCGGGAACAAUGAAUUGAGGGCGUGACUGACAAGCUAAGGAAGCUGUUUAUAUGCAUGUAACCUUUUAUUAUGGGUAUAACUAUGACUAUUUCAUUCAUGAAAUCAUUUAAGUUUUUCUUUUGAAGUUCAUCUCUCUAUACUUGUGAUGUAUGGAUAAGUGGUUUUUGGACUAAGGUUGUGUAUGGUGAAUGUUUGAUAUUGUUUCUCUUAAGGAUGACUACUCACAUCUUGUCCUUCACAGAUGUUUUAAAAUAUUUUAAAACCCAAAAGAAUAUCUCCCUUAAUGGAGUUGACUGAAAGAAAAGGAGGGAAAAACAGUCCUGUCUGGAAAAUACCCCCUCGCUUUCACUCUUGUGGUUUCAUACAUUCCCUUGUAUAUAAGAAUUUGCAUAGUUGUUCAUUUGGUUUUUGGUUUUUUUUUUUUUAUGAUUGCUAAAUAAUCUCCAUGCUGUUUGCAGGAAAGGAAAGAGGACAUAAGGAAUAAAGGACUGAGAUAUAAUCAGAUCCAGAGAAUGGAAAAUGGAACACAGUGAAGCAGUGCUUACAUGCAGGCAUGUCCAACCCACGGCCACCAUACGGCCAGGCCCAGCCCAUCCCGUGGCUGCCCCUGCCCCACUGUCAUGGCAGUAGCUCUGCCCUGCUGAGCAGCCCGGGCACGCACCCAUCGCUCAGCAACAGCCAAACAUUGCUGUGUGAUCGGCACUGUCUGGGCUGAAACCAGGCAGGGGGAGGGCGCAGUGCAGCGCCGACUCAAGUGAUGGCAAAUAAGUUUAUGCGUUGCGAUACACUGGCUAAACACAGUCCUGUGAACAGUGAAAAAUAUGUGACNUGAGAAGUGAAUUCUUUGUGGUGCUUUGUUCAGGGCUCGUGCUUCUCAAGUUUCAUGGUAGGCACAGAUGAAAUGGGACAGCAUUCAAAUUCCCCCUGAAAUCAGCUGUUGGAGAAACAACUGCGGUACCAGAGCUGAAUAAACUGUAUUAUGUCUUAGUGGCUGAGUGUAUAGAAAGUUGCACUGAAUUGGGGAGGGGGGGGAAACACCUGUUACCAAAUAAUGGCAACAUUGUGCUGUAAGUAGUUAUCCCUUCACUGCAUAUCUCUGUUUUGCACCCAGAGCAGCCUCUGGAGGAACCAGAUGUGGUCAGCGGUGUGAAAAACAGUGACGGUUGCUGUGCCACAAGGAGGAGGUUUG